This 433-nucleotide ribosomal RNA is filed under the name uncultured bacterium. RNAcentral describes it as "partial 16S ribosomal RNA". It matches the Rfam family "Bacterial small subunit ribosomal RNA", at positions 29 to 507 of the family's 1533-position model. The record is from RNAcentral.
AACGAACGCUGGCGGCAUGCCUAACACAUGCCAGUCGAACGAGACCUUCGGGUCUAGUGGCGCACGGGUGCGUAACGCGUGGGAACCUGCCCUUAGGUUCGGAAUAACUCCCCGAAAGGGGUGCUAAUACCGGAUAAUGUCUUCGGACCAAAGAUUUAUCGCCUUUGGAUGGGCCCGCGUUGGAUUAGCUAGUUGGUAGGGUAAAAGCCUACCAAGGCGACGAUCCAUAGCUGGUCUGAGAGGAUGAUCAGCCACACUGGGACUGAGACACGGCCCAGACUCCUACGGGAGGCAGCAGUGGGGAAUAUUGGACGAUGGGCGAAAGCCUGAUCCAGCAAUGCCGCGUGAGUGAUGAAGGCCUUAGGGUUGUAAAGCUCUUUUACCCGGGAUGAUAAUGACAGUACCGGGAGAAUAAGCUCCGGCUAACUCCGUG